ACUCAAUUGCAUCUACCAACUGGCAGACAGACCAACUGAGAGAGUCCGUCCGUUCAGUAGCUGGAUUCGCCAUGGGUGUGCCCCAGGAGUGUUAGCAAGGCUAUUUCUCCGGAUCAGAAUAGUCCACAGACAGCAACUCUCUGAGGGAAGGCUCCACAACUGAACUAGUAAGACGUGCCUCUGCUUAAAAUAAUCAUAAGGAAUUUCUCCCUUCUCUUCUAUGGGUCUUAACCUUCUAAUUAGCCACCUCUUUAUCCUCUGAGAAUAUCUCAAGUCCAUGUCUGAUAAGCCACUUCUCAGCAGGGAGAGAACUGCAUCUUAAAAUGGAUUUGAUACUUCUUAGUAAACUGACAAAUCAGCCGAGGGGUGAGUCAAAUGAAAAUUUUAGGACUAUCGCCCUGCAAAAAAGGUGAUGAUUGCUAUAGGUUGGGAGAGUUAUAAUCUGUCAGAAUCUUCUGUUGCAAGGAACAGCUUAGCCACACAGCAGUGCUCCAUGGCGGCUGCCGUCAAGAAUCUAAACACGGCUUGGAAUUCUCUGAGGAUGUUAUUCAUAAAGGCACAGUUA
This 565-nucleotide long non-coding RNA is filed under the name Homo sapiens (human). Its description in RNAcentral is "non-protein coding lnc-ERGIC2-12:1". The record is from RNAcentral. Lineage: Eukaryota; Metazoa; Chordata; Mammalia; Primates; Hominidae.